RNAcentral lists this long non-coding RNA (1635 nucleotides) under Macaca fascicularis (crab-eating macaque). RNAcentral describes it as "lncRNA (ENSMFAG00000054289.1)". Lineage: Eukaryota; Metazoa; Chordata; Mammalia; Primates; Cercopithecidae. The record is from RNAcentral.
AUGGGAUGAUGAGUGCCGGAGGAAAGGGGUUGCUCUUUUAAAUCAUGUAAUCAGGCCUCCCUGAUAGGAUGACAUUUGAACAGGGACCUGAAUGGAAAUCUGGGAGAUGCAUAGACCAGGACUGGCUCUGGGAACCAGAACGGUGGCCUUGCUGCCAGAAGGACUUUGUUGUGCCCACCAGGGAGAGCACGGCUGCUUCCAAGGAGCACCAUCUUGGGAUAGGAAGAAGGACAGGGGCCCAGCUAUUCUGGUUUAGCCUUUGGUGUAAGGGAAAAAAUCUCAAUUACACCUACAUUUACAACAUAUAGGAGCGAGAGCCAGCGUCCUUACCAAAAUGUUGCAGACCCUAUACUCAGGUGUGCAGCUGAGAUGACUUCAUGGUGCCAGAGUCUCAGAUUUCUACUUGACUUUACUUAAUAACCUGGGGUCUGUUGGCCUCCUGCCCUUAGCCUCAGAGUGACAUCUGUGUCACUCGGCUUCUUGCUUUUCCAAUAGGAAUUCUUUCUUCUUCAGAAAAACAAACAAAAAAAAAUUAAAUUUGGGUCGCUUUCCACUUUAAACCAACCAUGCCCAUUACAGAAAAAAAAAAAAUAGAGAAAGGUAUUAAAAAUCUCCCUAAUUUUGCCACUCAAAGAUACCCCCUACUGUGCCAUGUGUCCCUCUGGUCUUUUUCUUCUGUGCCAAGUUUUUGUUUGGCUUGAUUUUUGCCUAGGUGUGAUUAUGCUAAAUAUACAAUUCAGUUUCUUCCUUUUUUCACUUAGCAUUUUAUAAUAAGCAUUUUCCCGUGUUAUUACAAAUCCUGGGUAAACAUCAUUUCAAUAGUUGCACAAUAUUCCAUGGAGUGAACGUACCAAGGUUUAUUUAAACAUCUCCCCUCCUGUUGGGCCUGUCUGUAGAUUUUUGUUUUCUGUUGGGUUCUCUUUCUAUCAUAAAUAAAAUGUCCUUUGUUUUCUUAUUCCUCCCUAUCUGGGGCCUUCAUCAAUAUGUACAAGAGAAUGCCAGUCUAGGUCCCAUUUGCAAUAGUAGAGUUGUUGAAACAACCAUAGAAGCCACAGCAUUUGCCUAGGGCUGGGGUCUGUCCCCUCUGUGACUAUAGGACAGAGCUGUCCUUGCAAGCGCACGGGGAAAGAGGCAAGGCUGGCUGGAGGGGCCAUCCAGCGGCACCACGUUCACUGGGCCUCUGCUCUCCACUGCAUGCUUUUAUAUGCAUCUCGUCAGUGAUCCUCACAACAACCCUAUUUUACGGGUGAGAAAGCUGAGGCUCAAAGAGUUUAACGAAAUUUGCCUUCAUGGCAAAAUCCAAAGACCUUCUCUUUUCGUUAAAAGUGCUUGAAUCCAAGGCCAGGCAGAGUGGCUUAUGUCUGUAAUCCCAACACUUUGGGAAUCGAGGUAGGAGCAUCACUUGAGGUCAGGAGUUCAAGACCAGCCUGACCAAUAUGGUGAAACCCCGUCUCUACUAAAAAUACAAAAAUUAGUUGGGCAUGGUGGUACACACCUGUAAUCCCAGCUACUCAAGAUACUGAGGCAAGAGAAUCACUUGAACCCGGGAGGUGGAGGUUGUAGUGAACCAAGGUCGAGCUACUGCACUCCAGCUUGGGUGACAAAGUGAGACUCUGUCUAAAAAAAAAAAAAAAA